CAGGAAAAUAUUUACUUAAUAGACUGUAUUUAGAGAAUAAGACUGAAGUUGACUCUAAGAUUUUAGGAAGAUUAUUAGAUGAACUACAAAAGAAAAAAAGAGAGGAAGAAGCAGCAAGAAGUAGAAGAGGCUGAACUGGAGGCUGAAGAGGAGAUUGAAGGUGAGGAGCCGGAAGUUCAGGAAGGGUCUGAGGCCCUGGAGGUAGCCGAGGACACCAAGGGAGCCUUACCUGAGGAGACUGAAGUACCUGAGGUCCCUGAAACAGAACCUGAAUCAGUAUUUGAGUCUGCUGAGGAUACUACAGUUGGAACAGAAAUUUCAAAAGGAUCCAAAGAGGGCCUGGAAACUAAAGAAUUAUAUGAAACAGGUU
This 370-nucleotide long non-coding RNA is filed under the name Ursus americanus (American black bear). RNAcentral's name for it is "lncRNA (ENSUAMG00000017998.1)". The record is from RNAcentral. Lineage: Eukaryota; Metazoa; Chordata; Mammalia; Carnivora; Ursidae.